GACGAACGCUGGCGGCGUGCCUAACACAUGCAAGUCGAACGGAAAGGCCAUGCUUUUGUGCGGUGCUCGUGUGGCGCACGGGUGAGUAAAACGCGAGUAACCCGUCCCUGACAUUCGGAUAACUUUUGGAAAAUGGGGCUCAUACAGGAUAGGAGAUCCUGAUGCACGGUGGGGGAUGGAAAGAUUCGGCGGUUGGGGCUGGGCUAGCGGCUUAUCAGCUUGUUUGGGGGGUAGUGGAUUUCGAAGGCUUUGACGGGUACGCUGCCUGAGAGGGGUGCCGGCGACAAGAGGACUGAGAGACGGCCCAGUCUCCUACGUGAGGCAGCAGUGGAAAAUAUUGCGCAAUAGGGCGGAGCCUGAUACGACGGCGCCGGGUGCGGGAUGACGGGCUUCGGGUUGUGAACCGCUGUCGCCUGUGACGAAGCGGGAGUGACGGUAAUGAGUAAAGAAGCACCGGCUAACUACGUG
This 468-nucleotide ribosomal RNA is filed under the name uncultured bacterium. RNAcentral describes it as "partial 16S ribosomal RNA". It matches the Rfam family "Bacterial small subunit ribosomal RNA", at positions 28 to 507 of the family's 1533-position model. The record is from RNAcentral.